ACUGAACGCUGGCGGCAGGCCUAACACAUGCAAGUCGAGCGGAUGAGAGGAGCUUGCUCCUCGAUUCAGCGGCGGACGGGUGAGUAAUGCCUAGGAAUCUGCCUAGUAGUGGGGGACAACGUUUCGAAAGGAACGCUAAUACCGCAUACGUCCUACGGGAGAAAGUGGGGGAUCUUCGGACCUCACGCUAUUAGAUGAGCCUAGGUCGGAUUAGCUAGUUGGUAGGGUAACGGCCUACCAAGGCGACGAUCCGUAACUGGUCUGAGAGGAUGAUCAGUCACACUGGAACUGAGACACGGUCCAGACUCCAACGGGAGGCAGCAGUGGGGAAUAUUGGACAAUGGGCGAAAGCCUGAUCCAGCCAUGCCGCGUGUGUGAAGAAGGCCCUCGGGUCGUAAAGCACUUUAAGUUGGGAGGAAGGGCUUACAGCGAAUACCUGUGAGUUUUGACGUUACCGACAGAAUAAGCACCGGCUAACUUCGUGCCAGCAGCCGCCGUAA
This 500-nucleotide ribosomal RNA is filed under the name uncultured bacterium. RNAcentral describes it as "partial 16S ribosomal RNA". It matches the Rfam family "Bacterial small subunit ribosomal RNA", at positions 30 to 523 of the family's 1533-position model. The record is from RNAcentral.